UACGUAGGGGGCAAGCGUUGUCCGGAAUCAUUGGGCGUAAAGAGCGUGUAGGCGGCCCGAUAAGUCCGCCGUGAAAGUCCAGGGCUCAACCCUGGAAUGCCGGUGGAAACUGUCGGGCUAGAGUCCGGAAGAGGCGAGUGGAAUUCCUGGUGUAGCGGUGAAAUGCGCAGAUAUCAGGAGGAACACCGAUGGCGAAGGCAGCUCGCUGGGACGGUACUGACGCUGAGGCGCGAAAGCGUGGGGAGCAAACAGG
RNAcentral lists this ribosomal RNA (253 nucleotides) under uncultured bacterium. RNAcentral describes it as "partial 16S ribosomal RNA". It matches the Rfam family "Bacterial small subunit ribosomal RNA", at positions 524 to 776 of the family's 1533-position model. The record is from RNAcentral.